Molecule: ribosomal RNA, 612 nt
Filed under: fungal sp. APA-2013
Lineage: Eukaryota; Fungi
Description: eukaryotic LSU rRNA
Rfam family: 5.8S ribosomal RNA (bases 236-389)
Source: RNAcentral
UCUUGGUCAUUUAGAGGAAGUAAAAGUCGUAACAAGGUCUCCGUAGGUGAACCUGCGGAGGGAUCAUUACACAAAUAUGAAGGCGGGCUGGAACCUCUCGGGGUUACANGCCUUGCUGAAUUAUUCACCCUUGUCUUUUGCGUACUUCUUGUUUCCUUGGUGGGUUCGCCCACCACUAGGACAAACAUAAACCUUUUGUAAUUGCAAUCAGCGUCAGUAACAAAUUAAUAAUUACAACUUUCAACAACGGAUCUCUUGGUUCUGGCAUCGAUGAAGAACGCAGCGAAAUGCGAUAAGUAGUGUGAAUUGCAGAAUUCAGUGAAUCAUCGAAUCUUUGAACGCACAUUGCGCCCUUUGGUAUUCCAAAGGGCAUGCCUGUUCGAGCGUCAUUUGUACCCUCAAGCUUUGCUUGGUGUUGGGCGUCUUGUCUCUAGCUUUGCUGGAGACUCGCCUUAAAGUAAUUGGCAGCCGGCCUACUGGUUUCGGAGCGCAGCACAAGUCGCACUCUCUAUCAGCAAAGGUCUAGCAUCCAUUAAGCCUUUUUUUCAACUUUUGACCUCGGAUCAGGUAGGGAUACCCGCUGAACUUAAGCCAUAUCAAUAAGCGGAGGAA